UUACCAAAUAUUACAGAGCUAGUAAGCCAAGACUUGAACACUGAGAUGGAAUUCUACCUUUUAAGGUGGCUAAGCAACAGAAGGAUGUUCCUUUCCCAAGGGGGUAAGAAGCAGUGGCCAUGUUCAGCACAAUUGUCCUAUCACAGGUUCAUGGCAGGGACCGAGCAGUGAGGAUGGGCACUGCCCUGUGUCCUAGCAGAGGGCUGCCUUCUGGCUCCCCAGCCUUGGCCAGCAGCCCUUCUAUCUUCAUGCCAUGACCUAUUUUUGUUCACCCAGUUAGUGUAUGGCCUAUUUCUUUCCUUAAGAAUUACUUCAUAACUUUCACAGAGUAAUAGCACAUGCUGAGCACAGCAUUCAUGAACUUGGACACACGCACACAAAAUGUCCCUUUAAAUUCACAGAGCAGUAUCUGAGAUCCAGGUAGAAAGACCAAAAGGAAAAUUAAGAACAGACUCUCAGACCUGCCUUCCCUUUGCAUUCAGAGCACUGCGUGUUUUGAAAUAUACAAAUAGUGGGAAACGAAAUCUUUGUUCUGGAUGCAGUUAUAAUUUGGAAAGCGAGGAAAUAAAUUAUAACAAGGGGAAAAAACAGGGUUGCCGUGAGGAGUAAAUGAGCUGUUGCAUGGGAAGCACUUAGCAUGGGGCCUGAUAAAUAGUAAGCCCUUGGUAAUAAUUACAUCUUCCGUGAUGCUAGACACAGAGGGAUUGAAAUGCAUAACAAUAGAGAUGAAACACGAAGAGUGAUAAAUGAAGAUUGAGUGUGCACACCUUCUGGAGGAGCCCUGAUUGAGUAUUUUAACACAGAAGUGGGUGAGAGCAAAGUUGUGUCAGAGUAAGACAAUGACACCAAGCCAGAUGGUUAUCAAAAUCCACAGGAACAAAUGAAGAGAACCAGAAAUUGCAAAUAAGAAGGACAGAGUACCAGAGAGGAGAGAGAGGUACAGAGAAUUAUGGAGGUGGCUUCCGUUGAGUAUGCAGCUAAGUAAUGAUUAAUGCAUACAUAUAAGAAACUACUGGAUGACAGAGAAAGAACCACAAGCAAUUUAAAGAAUACUACUAAAGUCAUGCCGUGUGACUUCUGAAGCUAGCUCCUAAGAAGUCCUUGCAGCUUCUGCCUGCGACUCUUAGAACACUUGCUUUGAAGGAUGCCAGAUGCUGUCUUAAAAGUCUGAGCACUCUGAAACCAUCAUGCUGUGAGGAAGCCCAAGCUAACCACAUGGGCAAAAAAGAUGCCCUCUGACUGCCACCAUUUGAGACACUCUAAUUAAGAACUGCCUCAUUGAGCCCAUGAGGCCCUGUGAAUGAUAAUAAUAAAUUGUUUUUAACCACUAUGUUUUUGGAUUUGUUAUAAGUUUAUAGAUAACAAGAAAAAGUUAUAUUAGCAUGGUAAUAAAAUUAUGGAUAUGUGUAA
Molecule: long non-coding RNA, 1410 nt
Filed under: Homo sapiens (human)
Lineage: Eukaryota; Metazoa; Chordata; Mammalia; Primates; Hominidae
Description: long intergenic non-protein coding RNA 964
Source: RNAcentral